Molecule: ribosomal RNA, 743 nt
Filed under: uncultured bacterium
Lineage: Bacteria
Description: bacterial SSU rRNA
Rfam family: Bacterial small subunit ribosomal RNA
Source: RNAcentral
UGGCGGCGUGCCUAAUACAUGCAAGUCGAGCGAACGGACGAGAAGCUUGCUUCUCUGAUGUUAGCGGCGGACGGGUGAGUAACACGUGGAUAACCUACCUAUAAGACUGGGAUAACUUCGGGAAACCGGAGCUAAUACCGGAUAAUAUUUUGAACCGCAUGGUUCAAAAGUGAAAGACGGUCUUGCUGUCACUUAUAGAUGGAUCCGCGCUGCAUUAACUAGUUGGUAAGGUAACGGCUUACCAAGGCAACGAUGCAUAGCCGACCUGAGAGGGUGAUCGGCCACACUGGAACUGAGACACGGUCCAGACUCCUACGGGAGGCAGCAGUAGGGAAUCUUCCGCAAUGGGCGAAAGCCUGACGGAGCAACGCCGCGUGAGUGAUGAAGGUCUUCGGAUCGUAAAACUCUGUUAUUAGGGAAGAACAUAUGUGUAAGUAACUGUGCACAUCUUGACGGUACCUAAUCAGAAAGCCACGGCUAACUACGUGCCAGCAGCCGCGGUAAUACGUAGGUGGCAAGCGUUAUCCGGAAUUAUUGGGCGUAAAGCGCGCGUAGGCGGUUUUUUAAGUCUGAUGUGAAAGCCCACGGCUCAACCGUGGAGGGUCAUUGGAAACUGGAAAACUUGAGUGCAGAAGAGGAAAGUGGAAUUCCAUGUGUAGCGGUGAAAUGCGCAGAGAUAUGGAGGAACACCAGUGGCGAAGGCGACUUUCUGGUCUGUAACUGACGCUGAUGUGCGAAAGCGU